RNAcentral lists this transfer RNA (76 nucleotides) under Candidatus Aegiribacteria sp. RNAcentral describes it as "tRNA-Phe". It matches the Rfam family "tRNA". From Rfam's summary of the family: Transfer RNA (tRNA) molecules are approximately 80 nucleotides in length. Their secondary structure includes four short double-helical elements and three loops (D, anti-codon, and T loops). Further hydrogen bonds mediate the characteristic L-shaped molecular structure. tRNAs have two regions of fundamental functional importance: the anti-codon, which is responsible for specific mRNA codon recognition, and the 3' end, to which the tRNAs corresponding amino acid is attached (by aminoacyl-tRNA synthetases). tRNAs cope with the degeneracy of the genetic code in two manners: having more than one tRNA (with a specific anti-codon) for a particular amino acid; and 'wobble' base-pairing, i.e. permitting non-standard base-pairing at the 3rd anti-codon position. The record is from RNAcentral. Lineage: Bacteria; Pseudomonadati. RNAcentral also lists the same sequence under 2 other names.
GCCGGGGUAGCUCAGUUGGUAGAGCAACGGACUGAAAAUCCGUGUGUCGACAGUUCAAUUCUGUCCCCCGGCACCA